Molecule: unclassified non-coding RNA, 179 nt
Filed under: uncultured Herpotrichiellaceae
Lineage: Eukaryota; Fungi; Ascomycota; Eurotiomycetes; Chaetothyriales; Herpotrichiellaceae
Description: sequence contains ITS1
Source: RNAcentral
CUGAGUUAGGGUCUUGAUGGCCCGACCUCCAACCCUGUGUUUAUUAUACCAUGUUGCUUUGGCAGGCCUGCCUUUUGGGGCUGCCGGGGGCACUCCUGCCCUUGGCCCGUGCCUGCCAGGAGCCCUCCUUAAAUUCUGUGUGAAACUGUGCUGUCUGAGUCCCCAUAUUAAAUCAUACA